This 278-nucleotide long non-coding RNA is filed under the name Elaeis guineensis (African oil palm). Its description in RNAcentral is "long non-coding RNA (EGUI_LNC077624)". The record is from RNAcentral. Lineage: Eukaryota; Viridiplantae; Streptophyta; Magnoliopsida; Arecales; Arecaceae.
GCAUAACCUAGGAUGUCCUCAGUACUCUCAAAUUGCUUGGCUAAAUCUGGAUCAGCUUCAUAAACUUUCUCCUCAAUAUUUUCUAGAGUUUCUCCUUCUAAUUCUUCUAUGAAUAAUGAUCGGUUGGGGCAUUGUGCAGCAAAAUGACCGUAACCAUGGCACUUGAAGCAAUGGGAUCGAGAACUACUUCCUUUUGAUAACUCUCCUAUAGCUCCUUUUCUUUUAUCUUCUUUUCUCCCAAUAGGAUUUGUAAGUGGAGGUCCGUUACUAAGAGUUUG